GUAUUGGUGGUUCAAUGGUAGAAUUCUCGCCUCCCAUGCAGGAGACCCAGGUUUAAUUCUCGGCCAAGGUA
RNAcentral lists this transfer RNA (71 nucleotides) under Loxodonta africana (African savanna elephant). It matches the Rfam family "tRNA". Rfam says of the family: Transfer RNA (tRNA) molecules are approximately 80 nucleotides in length. Their secondary structure includes four short double-helical elements and three loops (D, anti-codon, and T loops). Lineage: Eukaryota; Metazoa; Chordata; Mammalia; Proboscidea; Elephantidae. The record is from Rfam by way of RNAcentral.